AAGGCUUUAAGUUAAUUCAAACUAAUGGCCUUCAAAGCUAAUAAUAAAGAUCACAAUCUUUAAGCCUUA
RNAcentral lists this transfer RNA (69 nucleotides) under Caroperla siveci. RNAcentral's name for it is "tRNA-Trp". It matches the Rfam family "tRNA". From Rfam's summary of the family: Transfer RNA (tRNA) molecules are approximately 80 nucleotides in length. Their secondary structure includes four short double-helical elements and three loops (D, anti-codon, and T loops). Lineage: Eukaryota; Metazoa; Arthropoda; Insecta; Plecoptera; Perlidae. The record is from RNAcentral.